This 1201-nucleotide ribosomal RNA is filed under the name Escherichia coli. RNAcentral's name for it is "partial 23S ribosomal RNA". It matches the Rfam family "Bacterial large subunit ribosomal RNA", at positions 911 to 2094 of the family's 2925-position model. The record is from RNAcentral. Lineage: Bacteria; Pseudomonadati; Pseudomonadota; Gammaproteobacteria; Enterobacterales; Enterobacteriaceae.
UGUUUCGGCAAGGGGGUCAUCCCGACUUACCAACCCGAUGCAAACUGCGAAUACCGGAGAAUGUUAUCACGGGAGACACACGGCGGGUGCUAACGUCCGUCGUGAAGAGGGAAACAACCCAGACCGCCAGCUAAGGUCCCAAAGUCAUGGUUAAGUGGGAAACGAUGUGGGAAGGCCCAGACAGCCAGGAUGUUGGCUUAGAAGCAGCCAUCAUUUAAAGAAAGCGUAAUAGCUCACUGGUCGAGUCGGCCUGCGCGGAAGAUGUAACGGGGCUAAACCAUGCACCGAAGCUGCGGCAGCGACGCUUAUGCGUUGUUGGGUAGGGGAGCGUUCUGUAAGCCUGUGAAGGUGUGCUGUGAGGCAUGCUGGAGGUAUCAGAAGUGCGAAUGCUGACAUAAGUAACGAUAAAGCGGGUGAAAAGCCCGCUCGCCGGAAGACCAAGGGUUCCUGUCCAACGUUAAUCGGGGCAGGGUGAGUCGACCCCUAAGGCGAGGCCGAAAGGCGUAGUCGAUGGGAAACAGGUUAAUAUUCCUGUACUUGGUGUUACUGCGAAGGGGGGACGGAGAAGGCUAUGUUGGCCGGGCGACGGUUGUCCCGGUUUAAGCGUGUAGGCUGGUUUUCCAGGCAAAUCCGGAAAAUCAAGGCUGAGGCGUGAUGACGAGGCACUACGGUGCUGAAGCAACAAAUGCCCUGCUUCCAGGAAAAGCCUCUAAGCAUCAGGUAACAUCAAAUCGUACCCCAAACCGACACAGGUGGUCAGGUAGAGAAUACCAAGGCGCUUGAGAGAACUCGGGUGAAGGAACUAGGCAAAAUGGUGCCGUAACUUCGGGAGAAGGCACGCUGAUAUGUAGGUGAAGUCCCUCGCGGAUGGAGCUGAAAUCAGUCGAAGAUACCAGCUGGCUGCAACUGUUUAUUAAAAACACAGCACUGUGCAAACACGAAAGUGGACGUAUACGGUGUGACGCCUGCCCGGUGCCGGAAGGUUAAUUGAUGGGGUCAGCGCAAGCGAAGCUCUUGAUCGAAGCCCCGGUAAACGGCGGCCGUAACUAUAACGGUCCUAAGGUAGCGAAAUUCCUUGUCGGGUAAGUUCCGACCUGCACGAAUGGCGUAAUGAUGGCCAGGCUGUCUCCACCCGAGACUCAGUGAAAUUGAACUCGCUGUGAAGAUGCAGUGUACCCGCGGCAAGACGGAAAGACCCCGU